CCUACGUGAGGCAGCAGUGAGGAAUAUUGGUCAAUGGACGAGAGUCUGAACCAGCCAAGUAGCGUGAAGGAUGACUGCCCGAUGGGUUGUAGACUUCUUGUAUAGGGGAAUAAAAUGUACCACGUGUGGGAUUUUGUAUGUACCAUAUGAAUAAGGAUCGGCUAACUCCGGGCCAGCAGCCGCGGUAAUACGGAGGAUCCGGGCGUUAUCCGGAUUAAUUGGGGUUAAAGGGCGCGUAGGUGGAUUGUUAAGUCAGUUGUGUAAGUUGGGGGCUCAACCGUAAAAUUGCAGUUGAAACUGGCAGUCUUGCGUACAGUCGCGGUGGGCGGUCUUCGUGGUGUAGCGGU
RNAcentral lists this ribosomal RNA (347 nucleotides) under uncultured bacterium. Its description in RNAcentral is "partial 16S ribosomal RNA". It matches the Rfam family "Bacterial small subunit ribosomal RNA", at positions 338 to 682 of the family's 1533-position model. The record is from RNAcentral.